UCGUAACAAGGUCUCCGUUGGUGAACCAGCGGAGGGAUCAUUACAGAGUUACUACUCCAAAACCCAUUGUGAACCUUACCUAUGUUCUGUUGCCUCGGCGGCGUGGUCAGCGCCCCCUCUGAAAAGAGGACGAUGCCCUCCCGCCGGCAGCACCAAACUCUUGAAUUUUACAGCGGAUUACAGUUCUGAUUUGAAAAGAAAAAACAAGUUAAAACUUUCAACAACGGAUCUCUUGGUUCUGGCAUCGAUGAAGAACGCAGCGAAAUGCGAUAAGUAAUGUGAAUUGCAGAAUUCAGUGAAUCAUCGAAUCUUUGAACGCACAUUGCGCCCGGCAGUAAUCUGCCGGGCAUGCCUGUCCGAGCGUCAUUUCAACCCUCGAACCUCCGUUUCCUCAGGGAAGCUCAGGGUCGGUGUUGGGGCGCUACGGCGAGUCUUCGCGACCCUCCGUAGGCCCUGAAAUACAGUGGCGGUCCCGCCGCGGUUGCCUUCUGCGUAGUAAGUCUCUUUUGCAAGCUCGCAUUGGGUCCCGGCGGAGGCCUGCCGUCAAACCACCUAUAACUCCAGAUGGUUUGACCUCGGAUCAGGUAGGGUUACCCGCUGAACUUAAGCAUAUCAAUAAGCGGAGGAA
This 628-nucleotide unclassified non-coding RNA is filed under the name Scedosporium boydii. RNAcentral's name for it is "sequence contains 18S rRNA gene, ITS1, 5.8S rRNA gene, ITS2, 28S rRNA gene". The stretch from base 213 to 366 matches the Rfam family "5.8S ribosomal RNA". The record is from RNAcentral. Lineage: Eukaryota; Fungi; Ascomycota; Sordariomycetes; Microascales; Microascaceae.